RNAcentral lists this long non-coding RNA (5007 nucleotides) under Homo sapiens (human). Its description in RNAcentral is "HSALNT0178091". Lineage: Eukaryota; Metazoa; Chordata; Mammalia; Primates; Hominidae. The record is from RNAcentral.
CAACCCGCCCGGGUAGACACCGCGCCACCCGCUCCGGGACGCCGCCCAGCGACAAGGCCGCGGGGUCAGCGUGUCUGUACCGGUGCUGCAACGGGAGGGUCGGGCGGCGACGCUCUCACUGCCGGGCCAGAAGGAGGCCUCCCGGCUCCCUCACGCUAGAAGGGAGCUGGUUACCAGAGGUUUUCAGAGACGCCAAAGUUUUGCCAGCACCCCGCCUCUCUCUCAUUUCUGGUCUAGGAAUCAGGAGUGUAGGUUCCUGUCUGGCUUCAGCACUGACUCUGGGAGACCUUGACCCAGUUCCAUUCCCUGGCAGGGUCUUCUUUCCUGUGAAAUGGAGCCAAUCGCUCCGCUGGCUGGACAAGUGCAGAGGAGGCCUCUUCCUGUAGCCAAGGAACUUGCCCCGGGCCUUCGGGGCCUUGGGCCCUCUUGGGCUCCAUAUCAGCUGACUGGGCCUGGCUGCCAGGAAGGGUGCUGGCUGCAGCCCCACCAGGAGCAGUAGCAGAGUGGACACACAGCCCAUAGUGGCUGAGCCGCCUCUGCAGUCCUGCUGGGGCCUUUGCUUGGGAGACACAAAGGCCCCUUGUCUAGCCUCCUGCGCCUAUUGUCUAAGCUGGGCCACGCACCUUCCAGGGACCUAAGUAUCCUCAUAGCCCGAGUUAUAGGGCCUAGGCCUUCAGGUUCCAGUGUGGGGAAGACCCUUUGGGCACUGGAACUCCAGCCAACCCUCUCUUUCUCUCCCCUCUUCCAAAACUUCAAACCUUAUACUGUCACUGCCAUUUAGCCCAGGAGAAACAAGUUUCUUUGACGCCAAGUUGAGGACCCAGGCUCGACCUUAGCCUUCAGCGGGCAAAUCUGGUUGGUGGCCUGCCCAGGGCUCUGCCCCUGCUCUGGCCCAAUUCCCUUACUUUACAGCUGAGGAAACUGCAUUCCUGAGACAUACAGCGUUUCAGCUACCACACAGGUGACUUAGUGAGGCUUGAGGAGCAGAGGAAGGGGCCUAGUCCUUGAACCCCAUAGCCUUGGGUUUAGAUUCCAGUCUUACCUCACCUGUCCUAUGACUCCUCUCUGAGCCUGAGUUUCCUCUUUUGCAAAAGGGAGUAAUACUAAUCUCUCACUUGCUGGCCUGUCUUAAAUUUUUUGAGAAAGGGCCUCACUCUGUCACCCAGGCCGUAGUGCAGUGGCAUGAUCACAGCACACUACAGUCUCUAUGUCCCAGGGCCAAGGGAUCCUCCCAUCUCAGCCUCCCAAGUAGCUGGGAAUACAGGCACAUGCCACCAUGCCGGGCUAAUUUGUAAAUUUUUUGUAGAGAUGGGAUCUCCCUGUGUUGACCAGGCUGGUCUCAAACUGCUGAGUCCAAGCAGUCCUCCUGCCUCGGCCUCCCAAAGUGCUGGGAUUCCAGGCAUGAGCCCCUGCACCCUAUCCUUAAAUUCUUUUUUCAUGGUUUUAUUCAUCAUCCCAAGCUGUCUGGGCUCAAGGCGUUAGUAUCCCAUGCAAUGAGGGCCUAGAAGUUUCGUCUCCUGACAUCCUCCCCAGGCAGUCCCAUCGCUGGGUUUCAGAGGCCAUCAAGCCCAGCAGGCUUCAAAUCCCCCAACAGAGUCCCCCUUACCUGGGGCUGCCUGGGGAACUCCCAUCCCACUUCAACUUGAGCACCUUUGCCUUUGUAUUUUUAUUUAUUUACAUUUCCUGGUAAGAAUUUGUUGCAAGCACAUGAAAGAUUUUGUGGCUGAAGUAAUGUAAAACCAUUGAUCAAACCGGAAAUUGAGACACAGCCAGCGUCACACAACAGGCCAUCUGAAAGGCUGGAAUAGCAUCGAGGGAGUCUCCCUGGAACCAAGCAGCCAAGGCAGGCUAAUGGUGAAGGCCCAGGCACAGUAAUGGUCCCCUGGAGAUGGAGUCCUGCUCUGUCAUCCAUGCUGGAGUGCAGUGGCGUGAUCUCAGCUCACUGCAACCUCCGCCUCCUGGGUUCAAGUGAUUCUCCUGCCUCAGCCUCCCAAGUAGCUGGGAUUACAAGUGUGCACCAUCACACCCUGCUGAUUUUUGUAUUUUUAGUAGAGACAGGGUUUCACCAUGUUGGCCAGGCUGUUCUUGAACUCCUGGCCUAAAGCGAUCCACCCGCCUUGGCCUCCCAAAGUCCUGGGAUUACAGGCGUGAGCCACCGUACCUGACCCCUGUCCCUGAACAUUUGUCACAAUAUAUUAUGAGUGAAUGAGUAAGAACUCUAUUUUAGUGGUCACCUUCUUUGUGCUAGUCAUUAAGUUUAAGGUAUCUCGCUUAAUAUUCUCCAGAACCCUGUGAGAUAGGCAUUAUUUUAUUCUCAUGUGACAUGUAGAGAAACAGGUUCAGAAAGGGGAAGCGAAAGUCCAAAGCAGUGAAUCUGCGGUGGGUCUCCUGGCCCCAGAAUUGCAGCCUGAUGGGAAGGAAGGCCCUGCUGAGUUCCCAGAGUUAUGGCUGGGUCAUGGCAUUGGGACCCACACUGGCAGCUCCAGUUACACAGGGCUGGGCUGGCUCUAGCAGCCUUGUCUUACUUGCUCCCUGAACUGCUGCAUUGACCUGCACCAUCCUCCCUUCCCUUGCCAGCCGAGAACUGUGCUCCUCAGGUUUCCUGGGCAGGGUCCAGGGCUCUGAUGCCAAACGCAGCCUGGAAACUCUAGCUCUCAGCAUGCCAGGAUGCGGGCACCCAAGUGAGGCCGCCUGGGAUGCAGGAAGCUUAGUCCAGGCCUGGGCAUGCCUCUGUUCCAUCUCCCCUCAAGCAGGACCAGCUACUUAAUCUGCGGGACCCAGAGCAGAAUGAAAAUGUGGGCCCCUCAUUCAAAAAUUUAAAAUUUCCAACAAAAGAAUGAAAAAAUAAGAAAAAAUUAAGAAUUUCAAGAUGGUGAUAGCAGAGUAUUUAACACUUCAAAUCAUGACCCUUACUGUCCAGGUCACAUGCCCACAAAGUCAGCCCUGUCGUCAGGCCUUGGUUUCCUUGUCUGUCAAGUGGGAGAAUGGUAGCCACUGGCCAAAAGGGUGAGGGUGAGAAUGAGGUGGGAGCUGGUGGUAAGAGGUCCAGUGAACAGCAUGAGGAUGAGGUAAGAGUCUCCAAGUUCAUGAUUUGUUAUCUGGGUCUCAGCACCGGGUGGCAGGCCAAACUCCUUGCCAGGAGUUUGAUUGCUUACAACAGCUCUUUUUCACAGAACCAAAAAACUAAAAAUCCAUGAAGCAAAGUAACUUGCUCAGGGUCACACAGAGACUCAGUGGGGGAAGCCAAGAUCAGAGUUCUGGCCUGGCUCUCUUCGAAGCUGGUGCUUUUUGUGACCCAGGCAGGAGAGAGAGAAGCGCAGGAGGGAGGUGGGAUGGGGACAGGCUGCUCAGGACAAAGAGGGCCACUGUGCAGACACAAAGACCUGACCACAGAGGCCCCUCUGGGGGCUGGGACAGACAAAUGGAUGGAGCCCUGUGACUCUAUCUGUGGUGACUGGGGUAGCUGCCAGGAGCUGCCUCCUAGACCCUACCUGGUUGUGAUGAGGGUUGGGGAGGGUGUUGGUGUGCAGGAACCAGGAAAUGGGUCAGGGAGGAGAAACAAACUCAGAGAUGGGCCCCUUCCCCACUCCCCAGGCCUCUGACCCCAUCUCCCCCUAGCUCCUCCUGGGCAGCCUGCCAGCUUAUGGAAUCUCCCACAAACCAUCCACCGCCCCACAUUCCUCCUUCUCAGUGAGGGUGAGGCUCAGGCAACUCACUGUCUGGCAGUCCCAGCCUCACAAUACUUCUGACCCUUCCCCAUCACCAGUGGCAGGAUGAAGCAUAUGCCCUCGGCGCAGUGUCCUUCAGGGCCCUGUGUGACCUGCCCUGCUGACCUUUCUUCACUCACCUGUCCCCACUCCUCCUCAGCCUUCUACGCUGCAGUCACAUGGAACGUCCCACCAUUCUCCAAACACUCUGUCCUUUCAUACACACACCCCCAUGUUGGCUCAUGCUUUUCCUUCUUCCUGGGGGGCUGUUUCCCCUGCUCCAGUAGACUGAAAUCCCAUUUCUCCUCCAUGAACCAGCUCAAAUGCCACCUCCAGUAGCCAGCUUUCCUCCAUGCCCACAGUUGGGUUUAGCUUCGCUCAUUAACCUGUUAAUCUACACAUGUUGGGUUCACCCACUCUAGCGGUGCUCCUCCCACGCUGGCUUGUGUUGUAGUUGUUCCAAUCCACAAAGCCUACCUGGAAGAGGGGACCUUUGAGCUGAGCCUUACAGGACAGGUGGACUUCACUAGUGAAUGUCAGUGGUAAGAAGUGACAGGAGCUCAAAGAAUCAGGGAUAUCAGCCCUAUCUCCAAAAUUUUAUCUGCAUCAGCCAGGUUGCUGAGUUCAAAUAGCAAGGAGUCUAUAGUUCAGAAUGGCAGGAGUUGAGUGUGCAGGGACACUGUCAAGGGAUAAAGUUAAGAGGUUCACCAGGGCCAAGCCACGAAGGGUUUUAUAAUGCCAUACUAAGGAAUUUUUUUGCUUGCUUGUUUAAAACACAUUUGAAUUUAUUUCUCAGCUCUAUAGUUUACUAAGUAAUUAAGUUCUGGCUUUUAUCUUUACUAUUUUCUCCCUCUUAAUUACCUUGGGUAGCUUUUCUGUUCUUUUUCUACAAGCUUAUUAAAGUGAAUACUUAGGCUGGGUGCGGUGGCUCAUGCCUGUAAUCCUAGCACUUUGGGAGGCCGAGGUGGGUGGAUCACUUGAGGCCAGGAGUUUGACUGGCCUGGCCAACAUGAUGAAACCCCGUCCCUACUAAAAAUACAAAAAUUAGCCGGUCAUGGUGGCACACGCUUGUAAUUCCAGCUACUCGGGAGGCUGAGGCGUGAAAAUCACUUGAACCCAGGAGUUGGAGGUUGCAGUGAGCCAAGAUCAUGCCGCUGUACUCCAGCCUGAGUGACAGAGCAAGACUCUGUCUCAAAAUAAAUAAAUAAAUAAAUAAAUAAAUGUGAAUACCUAUUUUGUUGUCAUUCUUUUUCAAUAAUGUAAGCAUUUUUAAGGCUAUCAUUUCCCUCUGAAUUCAGCU